GUGAAGUCAAUCAGAGGAAAUUCCCCCUUGUUGGAAAACUUAACAAACCGUGCUGUUUUUGUUGUUGCCUUCAACAAUAUCUAAAUGCUUUUGGAUUUGGAUAUAUUCCAAGGACGUCUAUUUGCAACUUUCAACAGAGAGAUCCACUCAGGAGGAACCACCAUAUUUGAUGGAGUCCCAUACUAUAACAUUAGCUGUACAUUGAAGGUGGUCCGUUAAAGCUGCCUGCGUGAUCAACCUGAGCCUCUCAAAUUACCCCUCUAUCCUCAUACAGUAGCCAGACAGUAGCUUCUCUUAUCUAGCUGCCAUGAACGGUAUGAUAGAAGGUGGAUAUGUGCCGGUGGAGCACCAUUGGUUCCACUGCGAGCAGCAGGUGGACUGUAAAGACUCCUGGUUUCCUUUCAGCAGGGAGGACUCACCAAGGCUGGAAGAGGCACACAA
Molecule: long non-coding RNA, 441 nt
Organism: Oncorhynchus kisutch (coho salmon)
Lineage: Eukaryota; Metazoa; Chordata; Actinopteri; Salmoniformes; Salmonidae
Exons: 3
Source: RefSeq, a predicted model, not a curated record